RNAcentral lists this ribosomal RNA (805 nucleotides) under Levilactobacillus brevis. RNAcentral describes it as "bacterial SSU rRNA". It matches the Rfam family "Bacterial small subunit ribosomal RNA", at positions 86 to 876 of the family's 1533-position model. Lineage: Bacteria; Bacillati; Bacillota; Bacilli; Lactobacillales; Lactobacillaceae. The record is from RNAcentral.
AUGAAGCGAGUGGCGAACUGGUGAGUAACACGUGGGNAAUCUGCCCAGAAGCAGGGGAUAACACUUGGAAACAGGUGCUAAUACCGUAUAACAACAAAAUCCGCAUGGAUUUUGUUUGAAAGGUGGCUUCGGCUAUCACUUCUGGAUGAUCCCGCGGCGUAUUAGUUAGUUGGUGAGGUAAAGGCCCACCAAGACGAUGAUACGUAGCCGACCUGAGAGGGUAAUCGGCCACAUUGGGACUGAGACACGGCCCAAACUCCUACGGGAGGCAGCAGUAGGGAAUCUUCCACAAUGGACGAAAGUCUGAUGGAGCAAUGCCGCGUGAGUGAAGAAGGGUUUCGGCUCGUAAAACUCUGUUGUUAAAGAAGAACACCUUUGAGAGUAACUGUUCAAGGGUUGACGGUAUUUAACCAGAAAGCCACGGCUAACUACGUGCCAGCAGCCGCGGUAAUACGUAGGUGGCAAGCGUUGUCCGGAUUUAUUGGGCGUAAAGCGAGCGCAGGCGGUUUUUUAAGUCUGAUGUGAAAGCCUUCGGCUUAACCGGAGAAGUGCAUCGNAAACUGGGAGACUUGAGUGCAGAAGAGGACAGUGGAACUCCAUGUGUAGCGGUGGAAUGCGUAGAUAUAUGGAAGAACACCAGUGGCGAAGGCGGCUGUCUAGUCUGUAACUGACGCUGAGGCUCGAAAGCAUGGGUAGCGAACAGGAUUAGAUACCCUGGUAGUCCAUGCCGUAAACGAUGAGUGCUAAGUGUUGGAGGGUUUCCGCCCUUCAGUGCUGCAGCUAACGCAUUAAGCACUCCGCCUGG